CCUACGGGAGGCAGCAGUGAGGAAUAUUGGUCAAUGGACGCAAGUCUGAACCAGCCAUGCCGCGUGCAGGAAGACGGCUCUAUGAGUUGUAAACUGCUUUUGUACGAGGGUAAACGCAGAUACGCGUAUCUGUCUGAAAGUAUCGUACGAAUAAGGCUCGGCUAACUCCGUGCCAGCAGCCGCGGUAAUACGGAGGAUUCAAGCGUUAUCCGGAUUUAUUGGGUUUAAAGGGUGCGUAGGCGGUCGGAUAAGUUAGAGGUGAAAUCCCGAGGCUCAACUUCGGAAUUGCCUCUGAUACGGUUCGGCUAGAGAGGAGUUGCGGUAGGCGGAAUGUAUGGUGUAGCGGUGAAAUGCUUAGAGAUCAUACAGAACACCGAUUGCGAAGGCAGCUUACCAAGCUACAUCUGACGUUGAGGCACGAAAGCGUGGGGAGCGAACAGGAUUAGAUACCCCUGUAGUC
This 460-nucleotide ribosomal RNA is filed under the name uncultured bacterium. Its description in RNAcentral is "partial 16S ribosomal RNA". It matches the Rfam family "Bacterial small subunit ribosomal RNA", at positions 338 to 795 of the family's 1533-position model. The record is from RNAcentral.